UACGUAGGGAGCAAGCGUUGUUCGGAUUUACUGGGCGUAAAGGGCGCGUAGGCGGCGCGGUAAGUCACUUGUGAAAUCUCUGAGCUUAACUCAGAACGGCCAAGUGAUACUGCAGUGCUAGAGUGCAGAAGGGGCAAUCGGAAUUCUUGGUGUAGCGGUGAAAUGCGUAGAUAUCAAGAGGAACACCUGAGGUGAAGACGGGUUGCUAGGCUGACACUGACGCUGAGGCGCGAAAGCCGGGGGAGCAAACGGG
RNAcentral lists this ribosomal RNA (253 nucleotides) under uncultured bacterium. Its description in RNAcentral is "partial 16S ribosomal RNA". It matches the Rfam family "Bacterial small subunit ribosomal RNA", at positions 524 to 776 of the family's 1533-position model. The record is from RNAcentral.